Molecule: long non-coding RNA, 575 nt
Organism: Phodopus roborovskii (desert hamster)
Lineage: Eukaryota; Metazoa; Chordata; Mammalia; Rodentia; Cricetidae
Exons: 2
Source: RefSeq, a predicted model, not a curated record
GGGAUAGGAGGGGCGGCCCCCCCCAGAUGGGUCUGCAUGUGGCCGGCCAGCUGGGCAGGGGUCUUGCAGUGCACGCUGCACAGCUUGCACAGGAUGCGGUCAGCCCGCGGGGCCUGGAGCCCAUGGUCCUUCACCGCGUGGAUGCGCAGGAGCUGGAGACAAGAACUUGUGGCUGUGAAGCUGAAGCCCUGGGAGCUGGCUUGAGUCCUCCUUUCACAAAGCAGCCAUGUCCCAUUCAUGCCCCCAGGCACACCCAGGAGGUGGACUCUCGGUAAACCGUCUCCUCUGAGCCAUGGCAUAGAAUUUAGUGUUCAGUUACUUCCAAUGCUGUUGUGCUUGUUUCUUAAAGGGCUCUCUCUACAUGCCACGAGCUCUUGGCUACAGCAUCCUUAACCCGCAUCCGUGAAAAGAACCAACAGUGUUGUGCCCACCCACUCCCACUUUGUCCCUGCCCUCUUGGCAUCCCUUAGCAUGUACCUUUGUUGCAGAGCUCACAGACAUGGUGAGGGCCCUGGCUGUGCACCUUCAUGUGGUCCGAAAUAUAAGCCGAGCUCAGCAUCUUGCCACACACAUGA